This 379-nucleotide ribosomal RNA is filed under the name uncultured bacterium. RNAcentral describes it as "bacterial SSU rRNA". It matches the Rfam family "Bacterial small subunit ribosomal RNA", at positions 29 to 418 of the family's 1533-position model. The record is from RNAcentral.
ACGAACGCUGGCGGCGUGCUUAACACAUGCAAGUCGAACGGAAAGGCCCAGCUUGCUGGGUACUCGAGUGGCGAACGGGUGAGUAACACGUGGGUGAUCUGCCCUGCACUCUGGGAUAAGCCUGGGAAACUGGGUCUAAUACCGGAUAUGACCAACUGUCGCAUGGUGGUUGGUGGAAAGCUUUUGCGGUGUGGGAUGGGCCCGGCCUAUCAGCUUGUGUGGGUAAUGGCCUACCAAGGCGACGACGGUAGCCGACCUGAGAGGGUGAUCGGCCACACUGGGACCGAGACACGGCCCAGACUCCUACGGAGCAGCAGUGGGAAAAUGCACAAUGGGCGCAAGCCUGAUGCAGCGACGCCGCGUGAGGGAUGACGGCCUU